AGCGUCGGUGGUAUAACGGUUAGCAUAGCUGCCUUCCAAGCAGUUGACCUGGGUCUGACUCCCGGCGACGCAA
Non-coding RNA from Trichonephila clavata, 73 nucleotides. NCBI's taxonomy places the organism in Eukaryota, Metazoa, Arthropoda, Arachnida, Araneae, Nephilidae. The record is from the annotation of a GenBank genome assembly.